Molecule: ribosomal RNA, 468 nt
Filed under: uncultured bacterium
Lineage: Bacteria
Description: partial 16S ribosomal RNA
Rfam family: Bacterial small subunit ribosomal RNA
Source: RNAcentral
GACGAACGCUGGCGGCGUGCUUAACACAUGCAAGUCGAACGGAAAGGCCCUGCUUUUGUGGGGUGCUCGAGUGGCGAACGGGUGAGUAACACGUGGGUAACCUGCCCUUGACUUUGGGAUAACUUCAGAAAACUGGGGCUAAUACCGGAUAGGAGCUCCUGCUGCAUGGUGGGGGUUGGAAAGUUUCGGCGGUUGGGGAUGGACUCGCGGCUUAUCAGCUUGUUGGUGGGGUAGUGGCUUACCAAGGCUUUGACGGGUAGCCGGCCUGAGAGGGUGACCGGCCACAUUGGGACUGAGAUACGGCCCAGACUCCUACGGGAGGCAGCAGUGGGGAAUAUUGCACAAUGGGCGGAAGCCUGAUGCAGCAACGCCGCGUGCGGGAUGACGGCCUUCGGGUUGUAAACCGCUUUCGCCUGUGACGAAGCGUGAGUGACGGUAAUGGGUAAAGAAGCACCGGCUAACUACGUG